CCUGGCUCAGGAUGAACGCUGGCGGCCGUGCCAACACAUAGCAAGUCGAACGAAGGACUGCGCGGCGGAACGUCUCCGGAGGGAAGGAUGCGCAGGACUGAGUGGCGGACGGGUGAGUAACGCGUGGGUAACCUGCCCUGUACAGGGGGACAACAGCUGGAAACGCUGCUAAUACCGCAUAAGCCUACAGUGCCGCAUGGUACAGCAGGAAAAACUCCGGUGGUACAGGAUGGGCCCGCGUCUGAUUAGUUAGUUGGCAGGGUAACGGCCUACCAAGACAACGAUCAGUAGCCGGCUUGAGAGAGUGACGGCCACAUUGGGACUGAGACACGGCCCAAACUCCUACGGGAGGCAGCAGUGGGGAAUAUUGCACAAUGGGGGGAACCCUGAUGCAGCAACGCCGCGUGAGUGAAGAAGUAUUUCGGUAUGUAAAGCUCUAUCAGCAGGGAAGAAAAUGACGGUACCUGACUAAGAAGCUCCGGCUAAAUACGUG
Molecule: ribosomal RNA, 493 nt
Filed under: uncultured Lachnospiraceae bacterium
Lineage: Bacteria; Bacillati; Bacillota; Clostridia; Lachnospirales; Lachnospiraceae
Description: bacterial SSU rRNA
Rfam family: Bacterial small subunit ribosomal RNA
Source: RNAcentral